RNAcentral lists this ribosomal RNA (253 nucleotides) under uncultured bacterium. Its description in RNAcentral is "partial 16S ribosomal RNA". It matches the Rfam family "Bacterial small subunit ribosomal RNA", at positions 524 to 776 of the family's 1533-position model. The record is from RNAcentral.
UACGUAGGGUGCGAGCGUUGUCCGGAAUUAUUGGGCGUAAAGAGCUCGUAGGCGGCUUGUCGCGUCGGAUGUGAAAGCCCGGGGCUUAACCCCGGGUCUGCAUUCGAUACGGGCUAGCUAGAGUGUGGUAGGGGAGAUCGGAAUUCCUGGUGUAGCGGUGAAAUGCGCAGAUAUCAGGAGGAACACCGGUGGCGAAGGCGGAUCUCUGGGCCAUUACUGACGCUGAGGAGCGAAAGCGUGGGGAGCGAACAGG